GCUUAGCCUUAAACCUAGAUGUUUACCUUACAGAAAACAUCCGCCAGGGUACUACAAGCGCCAGCUUAAAACCCAAAGGACUUGACGGUGUCUCAGACCCACCUAGAGGAGCCUGUUCUAGAACCGAUAAUCCACGUUUAACCUCACCACCUCUUGUUUUUCCCGCCUAUAUACCGCCGUCGCAAGCUUACCCUGUGAAGGAUUAACAGUAAGCAAAAUGGGUACCUCCCAAAACGUCAGGUCGAGGUGUAGCUUACGAGGUGGAAAGAAAUGGGCUACAUUUUCUACACCAGAAUAUACGAACGGCACUAUGAAAUUAGGGCUCGAAGGUGGAUUUAGUAGUAAAAAUCAAAUAGAGAGUUAUUUUGAAAUUAGGCUCUGAGACGCGC
Molecule: ribosomal RNA, 389 nt
Filed under: Pristella maxillaris
Lineage: Eukaryota; Metazoa; Chordata; Actinopteri; Characiformes; Acestrorhamphidae
Description: partial 12S ribosomal RNA
Rfam family: Bacterial small subunit ribosomal RNA
Source: RNAcentral